RNAcentral lists this ribosomal RNA (253 nucleotides) under uncultured bacterium. RNAcentral's name for it is "partial 16S ribosomal RNA". It matches the Rfam family "Bacterial small subunit ribosomal RNA", at positions 524 to 776 of the family's 1533-position model. The record is from RNAcentral.
UACGGGGGGAGCAAACGUUGUUCGGAAUCACUGGGCGUAAAGGGCGUGUAGGCGGCUGGAUAAGUGGGAUGUUAAAUCCCCCGGCUCAACCGGGGACCUGCAUCUCAUACUGUUCAGCUCGAGCACAUCAGAGGAGACUGGAAUUCCCGGUGUAGCGGUGAAAUGCGCAGAUAUCGGGAAGAACACCCGUGGCGAAGGCGGCUCUCUGGGACGGUACUGACGCUGAGACGCGAAAGCGUGGGGAGCGAACAGG